GACGAACGCUGGCGGCGUGCUUAACACAUGCAAGUCGAACGGAAAGGCCCUGCUUUUGUGGGGUGCUCGAGUGGCGAACGGGUGAGUAACACGUGAGUAGCCUGCCCUUGACUUUGGGAUAACUUCAGGAAACUAGGGCUAAUACCGGAUAGGAGCUCCUGCUGCAUGGUGGGGGUUGGAAAGUUUCGGCGGUUGGGGAUGGACUCGCGGCUUAUCAGCUUGUUGGUGGGGUAGUGGCUUACCAAGGCUUUGACGGGUAGCCGGCCUGAGAGGGUGACCGGCCACAUUGGGACUGAGAUACGGCCCAGACUCCUACGGGAGGCAGCAGUGGGGAAUAUUGCACAAUGGGCGGAAGCCUGAUGCAGCAACGCCGCGUGCGGGAUGACGGCCUUCGGGUUGUAAACCGCUUUCGCCUGUGACGAAGCGUGAGUGACGGUAAUGGGUAAAGAAGCACCGGCUAACUACGUG
Molecule: ribosomal RNA, 468 nt
Filed under: uncultured bacterium
Lineage: Bacteria
Description: partial 16S ribosomal RNA
Rfam family: Bacterial small subunit ribosomal RNA
Source: RNAcentral